CUUGCCUCCUCCAGGAUGGGCAAGGCUGGUGUUUCACUUCUAAAGGCCUUGCCUUAUAUUUCACGUAUCCUGAAUGGAUCGUUUUUCUAAUCCAUCAAGCUUCCCCUGAAUUAUAUCCCGGCUUCCUUGAAACUGUGUUUUCCUUCUGGUGCCCCAGGAUAAUCCAGGAUCUAGCUCUACGAUGCACUUAGCUGGCUUUGGUUUGUUCAUUUGUUCACCUACCCACCCAUUUAGUCAACAGUUACUUACUGGGUUUCUCUGCACCAGCCCCUCUGCUGGCAUGCGGAUGCCUAAGGCAGCCCCUGGCUUCCACGGAGGUUGUGGUCUUAGCAAAAAACAUAGAAAUGGGACAAGGGCUGUCCAGGGGCCUGGGAGAAAAUAUGAGGGGGACUAACCAUCUCUCUGGGAGAACGCAUUAUGGCUUAGAACUCCAUUUCUGGGGGCGCCUGGGUGGCGCAGUCGGUUAAGCGUCCGACUUCAGCCAGGUCACGAUCUCACGGUCCGUGAGUUCGAGCCCCGCGUCGGGCUCUGGGCUGAUGGCUCAGAGCCUGGAGCCUGUUUCCGAUUCUGUGUCUCCCUCUCUCUCUGCCCCUCCCCCGUUCAUGCUCUGUCUCUCUCUGUCCCAAAAAUAAAUAAAAACGUUGAAAAAAGAAAUAAAAAAAAAAAAAAAAAGAACUCCAUUUCUGUAACGCCAGGUAUGCUGCGGUAAACAAAAUAAAAAACACCAACCAAACAAACAAAACAAACCUCCAACUCUCAGUACGUUAACACAAUAAAGUUUUGUUGUUGUCGUUGUAUUCUUAUUCGUGCAUUCCAAUGUAGGUUUUGACUCCCCAGGGCAGCCGUCCUCGCUAGAGAUUCUGCUGCUUCUAUCCUCCGGCAUCAUGUCAACACGGGUCAACAUCCAGGUUGGCGGCGGCAGGGAAAGAAGAGGUGGCGGAACUCACACGUGCUUUGAAGGGUCUUGGACUUCAAGACACCCACCGCACCCCUGCCCACACGCCAUUGGCCGGGACUGGUCACGUGGCCCGGGCCGCCGCGCAGGGGAUGCUGGGAGAUUCCGCCUUGCCACGUGCUCAGGUGGAGGAGACGGAUUGGUGAGCGCGUCUCCCACAGCGACCCGCAGGGUGGAGUUGGGGAAGAAAAGACUCUUUUCACAGAAAAGCACCAGAAACCAAACAGGGAACAGAGCUGCCACAUGGUGUGUAUCAGAGCUCCGAAGAGAGGCAAACUUCCAGGAAUGAGAACUUCUG
This 1253-nucleotide long non-coding RNA is filed under the name Felis catus (domestic cat). RNAcentral describes it as "lncRNA (ENSFCAG00000047603.1)". The record is from RNAcentral. Lineage: Eukaryota; Metazoa; Chordata; Mammalia; Carnivora; Felidae.